CCUACGGGUGGCAGCAGUAGGGAAUCUUCCACAAUGGGCGAAAGCCUGAUGGAGCAACGCCGCGUGGGUGAAGAAGGUCCUCGGAUCGUAAAACCCUGUUGUUAGAGAAGUAAGUGCGUGCGAGUAACUGCUCUCGUUUCGACGGUAUCUAACCAGAAAGCCACGGCUAACUACGGGCCAGCAGCCGCGGUAAUACGUAGGUGGCAAGCGUUAUCCGGAUUUAUUGGGCUUAAGGGGAACGCAGGCUGUCUUUUAAGUCUGAUGUGAAAGCCCUCGGCUUAACCGGGGUAGUGCAGUGGAAACUGGAGGACUUGAGUGCAGAAGGGGAGGGUGGAACUCAAUGUGUAGCGGUGAAAUGCGUAGAUAUAAGGAAGAACACCAGUGGCGAAGGCAACUCUCUGGGCUGUAACUGACGCUGAGGUUCGAAAGCGUGGGUAGCAAACAGGAUUAGAUACCCUAGUAGUC
RNAcentral lists this ribosomal RNA (465 nucleotides) under uncultured bacterium. RNAcentral's name for it is "partial 16S ribosomal RNA". It matches the Rfam family "Bacterial small subunit ribosomal RNA", at positions 338 to 795 of the family's 1533-position model. The record is from RNAcentral.